AUGCUUACCUGGCAAGGGAGAUGCCAUGAUCACAAAGGUGUUUUCCCAGGGCUUAUCCAUUAUCCUCCAGAUGCUGACCCCUGCCGAGUCCCCAAUAUAUGUAUAUAUAUUGUAUAAUGUAUAAUUAGUGGUAAUCGAGGACUGCAUUUGAGCUCUCCCCUA
Molecule: small nuclear RNA, 162 nt
Organism: Arvicola amphibius (Eurasian water vole)
Lineage: Eukaryota; Metazoa; Chordata; Mammalia; Rodentia; Cricetidae
Product: U1 spliceosomal RNA
Exons: 1
Source: RefSeq, a predicted model, not a curated record